Molecule: RNA transcript, 4316 nt
Organism: Beta vulgaris subsp. vulgaris (sugar beet)
Lineage: Eukaryota; Viridiplantae; Streptophyta; Magnoliopsida; Caryophyllales; Amaranthaceae
Gene name: pre-mRNA-processing factor 39-2
Exons: 13
Source: RefSeq, a predicted model, not a curated record
AAGAUAUUAAAAGAAAUUACAACUUGAGGAAGUACUCCUAUCAGUCCAUCACCGUCACCGAGACAGACACCACAAAGUAUCGCAGUUCGGGUUCUUUCACAGGAGCAGCUCACACAGUCACACUUAGCAUCUUACUGGAAGCUAAACAAGGAAAACUCUCAGACUUUGGAGAUUAAACGGUCCAUAAAUGUUUAAACCCUAAAAAGUUGAGAUCAGUAUUCAAUAUUAUGUACUCACAUUAAUUCCUCUCCUUUUUCAUUUUACGGAUAUUUGUUGAUUUCCCUGCUCCUUCCAAAGUUGGCAUAUUUCCAUGGCAGUAGGCUCUAUUGAUGGGUUGGAUGAACAUCUGCUCAAUGAACUUGUUGCUCGGGGUUCAUUGGAUUUUGAUGCUUGGACUACGCUCAUCUCGAGUGUUGAACAAAUGUACCAUGAUGAUAUAGAUAAAAUCAGUUUGGUAUAUGACUCGUUUUUGUCCGAGUUCCCCCUCUGCCAUGGUUACUGGAAGAAGUAUGCUGAGCAUACGACACACUUAUGCAGUGUGGAACGUGUUGUUCGAAUCUUUGAAAGGGCAGUUGAAGCAGUGCCAUAUUCUGUUGGUGUAUGGGUUGACUAUUGUAGCUUCGGUAUCUCGUCUUUUGAGGAUCCAUUGGAUGCUUGCAGGUUAUUUGAAAGAGGGCUAUCUUUUGUUGGGAGGGAUUAUCUAUGCUAUAAUCUAUGGGAUAAGUUCAUUGAAUUUGAGUAUUCUCAUGAACAUUGGAAUUCUUUGGCAAGCAUCUAUAUCCAGACAUUAAAAUUUCCAACAAAGAAGUUACAUCACUAUUACGAAAGUUUCAAGAAGUUGGUUGCCAUUUGGAAAGAGAAUAUGCAAUAUCAGGGAGGUUCUCGAAAGGAGAAGCAGCCAGAACAUGAUAUGAUUAUUGAAGUGGUGGCAUCUGAAGAUGCUGAAAUUUCUGAUGUUAUAAAUGACUUGUUAGAGCCAUCCACUAGAACUAAAGCGUUGCAGAAAUAUAUUUCUGUUGGAGAACAAUUUUAUCAAAGAGCCUGUGAUUUGGAUGCAAAAGUGCACAAGUUUGAGCAAAACAUACAUAGGCCUUAUUUUCAUGUGAAGUCGCUUGAUGACAAUCAGCUGCAUAAUUGGCAUCAAUACUUAGAUCUAGUUGAGGUGGAAGGUGAUUUUGACUGGGCUGUGAAACUAUAUGAAAAAUGCUUAAUUUCUUGUGCUCAUUACCCCGAGUUCUGGAUGCGUUAUGUUAAUUAUGCGGAGUCUAAGGGAGGAAGGGAAAUAGCAACUGAUGCUUUGGAGAGAGCGACACUUAUCUUUUUGAAGAAUGUGCCUGAGAUUCAUCUUUUCAAUGCUUGGUUUAAGGAGAAAAUAGGUGAUGUUAAUGGUGCACAGGCAGCAUUUCUGCAGUGUGACCAUGAAUUUGAAUCUUACUCCACUGACGCAAUCAGGAGGAAGGCCAAUAUGGAAAGGCGCAUGGGAAACUAUGCCACAUCAUCCAGUAUAUACAAGGAAGCAAUUGAGUUGGCUGCAGACAAGAGCCCAGAGACGCUUCCAAUGUUGUAUGUGCAUUUUGCACGUCUUCAAUACAUGAUUGCAGAUGAUGUGGAGGCCGUCAAAGAGGUUCUGUUAAACGGCAUUCAGCGUGUGCCUCACUCGUACCUACUCCUGAAGGAACUUAUACUUUUUGCACUGUUGCAUGAUGGAGCAAGGGAAGUGGAGCUUUUGGAUUCUCUUAUGGCUCGCGCACUUGCACUUGAGACAGAUGGUUCUGGUGGUCUCAGCAACAAAGAUCAGGAGGACAUAUCAAUAUUGUAUUUAGAGUUUGUCGACUCUUGUGGAAGCAUCCAUGAUAUAAUAAGGGCAUGGAAUCGCCAUUUGAAAAAUUUCCCACACUUGGUAAGAGUGCAUUCCUCCCUUAAGAAGCCUGCUAAAGCUGGUGCUAUGUGGAAGAUGGUUAUUGAAGGUAGGCCUGAUAGUCCUAGUACUCACUCUCUAAGGUCUUCGAAGGAGCAUGACAAAAUUAAUUUGAUUCAGCUGCCUCCUCGAGAUAAAGUAGUAGUGGCAGAGAAUGUUGACAAAUCUGAACGAGCUAUCCAUGAACAGACACAGUUUGAAGAUAGCGAUGGCAAAUUGAUUGAUCUGGAGCUGGUGACUUCAGAAGUCACAAAGACCUUUCUAACGGAGGAGUGUAAAGCAAAUGAGCCAGGUACUGGCCUGCUAAAUCAGACUGCUGAUGAUAGAAAUUCUGGGGAAGCUGCCACGGACCCUAAAUCACAUGGCAUCCAGGAAAAACAAGAGCAAGAUCAAAGGUCUCAAAAAGAAAAGCCAGAUUCACUGGAGGGUCAUUCUUUGAGUCCUCCGGAUGGUGGUAGCAAACCAGCAGGUGGCCACGACAUAGAUAAAAUCCGCUCAGUCUCGAGUCCUGUAAGUCGCGGAGAUAAUUUUGCUGCCGAAACAUGUGGUGAGUCUCUUUUUCCCUCUACAAUGACACGUAAGGACCUUUCAUCAACACUAUCAGCAGAUCAUCCUUCGGAUAAAGAGGGAAAUCCGCGAAGGUUCAACUCAUCUGGUAAAGUUCGUUCAAGACUUGGCUCCCCUGGUAAUUCAGGAGAGAGACUAGAAAGGUCGCUUUCGCCAAGAAGACGCAUCCAUGGGUGUACAGAUGAUCGGCGACACAGAGAGCGGUCUCUUUCUCCACGAAGGCACAAUUCUCGCUGGAAUUCAGAAGACCGCUGGCAUCGUGAUAAACGUCAUCGUCGUUAUUCUCGGUACCAAGAUAGUUCACAAGGUCAGAAAGAUGGCCGAAUACAACAUCAACAUAUAGUGAUCAUUGGCAACAAACGGCAAACACAGACUGCCCAACAGCAAUCUACGGGAUCUACAUCACAGACUCAGACCCAACUUCCUGUCCAAUCUGUUGCUUACCCUCAAGCUCUGACGAACCAGUAUCCGCUGCCCAUCAAUGAGCAAUAUGGCAAUGCGCAGAAUAACCAAUUGUACAAUCAGAUGUGGCAAUAUUAUUACUACAACCAGCAGCAACAGCAGCAGCAGCAGCAUGUACUGCAACAACCACCAUUAGGUCCACAGCAACAACUGCAACAAAUGCAGCCUCCUCAGCAGCUGCAGCAACAGAUGCAAAAUCCAGCCCAGCAGCAGCAUAUGCAAAUUCCUCAACAGCCAUCUCUUCAUCAGCAACAGCUUUUACACUUGCAGUAUCAGCAGCAACAGUUGUUUCCGCAGUUGCAACAGCAACAAACUAAUGAGCAAACGCAGUCUCAGCAGCAGCAAUUACAGCAGAUACAGCAACAGCAAGUUUACCUACAGCAGCAGCAGCAGCAGCAGCCGCAGCCCCAGCCCCAGCCACAGCCACAGCAACAGCAACAGCAACAGCAGGGACACAUUCAAGAGCAACAGCAGACACAGCCGCAGCAACCAGAGGAAGUCUAUCUUCAGCAGCAGAUGCAACAACCACAGGAAUCAUAUCAGUACCAGCAAGUUCAGCAACAACAGUACUUACUCUACCUCCAGCAGCUGCACCAAUAUCAACAAUCACAGAAGCAGCCAGGACUAGCUCCAGAUCAGAAGUCAUUGCACGAACAACAAAAAUUACCUCAGGACCAGCAACAAGAACUGCCGGAGCAGCAGCAUAGGGAUGAAAAGUCACAGCUUAAACAAAAUUAUGGUUCAGCAGAAGUUAGUUCAAAUAACAGUCCUCAAGAACAGCAAAUCAAACUAAAGUAACCAUACAAGAGAUUAAGCUCCUGUGACUGUUGGGCAAUGACAAAAAAGGUUGGGACUUUAGGAUCCCGUUUAGGGAUGAGGAGACCUUGGCUACACAAAUUCUGUUAGUGACACAAAACAGGGUCAAGGAUCAGAACUUACCCAUGGCUCAACUUCUGCAGCACCAUCCCAAGACGAGUUGCCUGAAAUUGAAGGAACGGAUAUUUGAUGCUUCAGUUGAAACACUUUUUAGGCUGUAUAACUCAGACUCGACUACUAGUGUCGGACAUAAGUUUGUUUUUUGGUGUCAGAUACUGCCACGUACGAAAAUUUUGCAUGCAUUCGUUCCAAAAGAAAUUUUGGUGUCCGCAUCAGCUCAGGUACUUGGGUGACAUAUAAAAGUUGGCUAGUAUAAUUUUGCAGAUGACUUGUAAAUGAUUAGGCCUUUCAUCACUAUACUUUAAGCUUUGGCAAUGAUAAUAGAAACAUUUCUGUUGUGUACUUCUGUUCGUCAUAUGUAGCUAUUGUAAUUCUCAAGUGUAUCUUGGCUUAUAAAAAAAUUAUAGAAACUCAACCUUUCCAGUCUUGCCUU